UAGAGGUGUCAGUGACGCUAUUGGCUGA
This 28-nucleotide non-coding RNA is filed under the name Bombyx mori (domestic silkworm). Lineage: Eukaryota; Metazoa; Arthropoda; Insecta; Lepidoptera; Bombycidae. The record is from RNAcentral.